This 465-nucleotide ribosomal RNA is filed under the name uncultured bacterium. RNAcentral's name for it is "partial 16S ribosomal RNA". It matches the Rfam family "Bacterial small subunit ribosomal RNA", at positions 338 to 795 of the family's 1533-position model. The record is from RNAcentral.
CCUACGGGAGGCAGCAGUGGGGAAUAUUGCGCAAUGGGCGAAAGCCUGACGCAGCGACGCCGCGUGAGGGAUGAAGGUCUUCGGAUCGUAAACCUCUGUCAGCAGGGAAGAACGGUCACUGUGCUAAUCAGCCGUGAAUUGACGGUACCUGCAAAGGAAGCACCGGCUAACUCCGUGCCAGCAGCCGCGGUAAUACGGAGGGUGCGAGCGUUAAUCGGAAUUACUGGGCGUAAAGCGCUCGUAGGCGGUAUGUCAAGUCAAGGGUGAAAUCCCCGCGCUCAACGUGGGAACUGCCUUUGAAACUGGCAAACUGGAGUGUGGGAGAGGAUAGUGGAAGUCCAGGUGUAGGAGUGAGAUCCGUAGAUAUCUGGAGGAACAUCAGUGGCAAAGGCGACUAUCUGGCACAUAACUGACGCUGAGGAGCGAAAGCGUGGGUAGCAAACAGGAUUAGAUACCCUUGUAGUC